Molecule: long non-coding RNA, 1065 nt
Filed under: Nicotiana benthamiana
Lineage: Eukaryota; Viridiplantae; Streptophyta; Magnoliopsida; Solanales; Solanaceae
Description: long non-coding RNA (NBEN_LNC016684)
Source: RNAcentral
GUCAGCAUACAACACAAGUUAUUCAUCAAAGAUGGAUUUUAAACCAUUUGCCAGAAUACAGUUCUAUAUUUCUAAAGUAAUUUCCUAAAAAUCAAAUCAAUACACAACGCAUAGAACAAUCAACAAUAUCAAGUUAAAAACUAAAUAAUCAUGGUCCAACCCAAAUCAGUGUGACAAGAAACAUCAUGGCUACUGUAACGAGAUAGUAAAAUAGAUGAGAAGACAACAAAAUAGAAAAACAAUCCAAACCCUCUACUGUAAACGUUUGGUCCAUACUACAAGAAUCCAAAACCUUAUGGCUAUUACCCAAACGAGCAAUUGGAGAAAUAUUUUAGUUCCUGAUGAAACAACAAAUAACCAAAUGAAGCUAAAUCCAACUUCUGAAUCCAACAAAAAAAUGAAAACCAAUUCGCAUAGAAAGAAACCAACUGACCGGAUCAGAACCUCAACGACGACCUCGGAUCUGCUAAUGGAAAGCUGGUCGAUUAAACCUAGACCAGAUGGAAGAGCCUCAAUGACGACCUUGAACAGACCUCAAAUUAGAAGCUUUGAACGGAUCGCACCGGAUUCAACUCGAUUGAGCUUGGACGUCGAUUUUGGACGUCACAAGGGAUGUUUUAUGAUGGAUUUCGAUCUUUGGCCAUUGUUUGGUGGCUUGCCGAAUUUCUCAUCGGAUCCAUCACUUUCCUGCACAACAGUAAUUGUCUGAAAUCACUUGACAGAGAAGCUUCGUUUGGGUGGUGGAUGGUUGGUCUAGAUUUAAAAUGGAAAGGGUGGAAAUGGGUUGAAGAAGGAGAAAGGUUGUUGGUUUGGGUUUUGUCCAGCUGAUGAAGAAUGAUUGCUUCUCAGGAGUUGGAGAUGGAUCGUUUGGGGUGGGGUGGGGUGAAGGAGACAAUCCGAGGCAUGGGUCGUUUCUGAAAAGCUGCGCAGCUUUCCCCCCUUUUCAGCGUUAUUUUUUUUUCCUCUCUAGAUCUAGUUUUUGUUUUUAAUUAAGAUAAGGGUAAGGGAAUGGGCUUGGGUUAUGUGGGUUUGGGUAGGAAAAUUGUGGUUUAUGCUGGUUCUGGC